GGAGCUGUGGCUUAGUGGUAGAGCACUUGCCUAGCUUGUAUGAGGCUCUGGAUUCAAUCCCCAGCACCA
Molecule: transfer RNA, 69 nt
Filed under: Ictidomys tridecemlineatus (thirteen-lined ground squirrel)
Lineage: Eukaryota; Metazoa; Chordata; Mammalia; Rodentia; Sciuridae
Description: Spermophilus tridecemlineatus (thirteen-lined ground squirrel) tRNA
Rfam family: tRNA
About the family: Transfer RNA (tRNA) molecules are approximately 80 nucleotides in length.
Source: Rfam by way of RNAcentral